Myotis lucifugus (little brown bat) is the source of this 905-nucleotide long non-coding RNA. RefSeq lists it as uncharacterized. The transcript is spliced from 4 exons. The record is from RefSeq and is a predicted model, not a curated record. NCBI's taxonomy places the organism in Eukaryota, Metazoa, Chordata, Mammalia, Chiroptera, Vespertilionidae.
AAUGACUUUAUACAGUAAAUAUGAAACAAGAAUUUUUUAAAAAAAUGUUCCUGGUACUGUAGCUUUUGUUAUUAUGAAUUCCUGCUUGUGGUCACCUAAAGUACGUCAGAGCAAGAACAACCUUAAAGAAGAAGAUUUACUGAUUUUUUUGUUUUUUUCAGCAGAACAGAGUAGGGAUGGUUAUCUCAUUGAGAUAUAUACAGUACGAAAGGGUUAUUUAAAAACACUUCAGGAUAAAUAACAGAUGAAUUCUUAAAACUGUUAAUCUCUGGUAUCCUUGAAGAUUAAUUAGAAAAUGUCCAUGUGCCUAUAAAGGGACAAACUUAAAAUGGAUAUGAGAAGUGAAGAAAGUGAUCAUAGGAGAAAAUCAUCUCAGUUGCAAUGAUGCAGACUCCAGGAGGCAGGCGCCGGGGACAUGGAAGCUGUGGCAGUAUUAUUUUCUCUUGGCAACAUUGAUCUGGACAUGUGGAUGGAUCUACUACCCCCGGCAUCAAACGGUCCUUUCUUUUGUCUAACAAUGUAUUGUUUCAUGGGUUACUUUAUAAUAAUAUCUACUUUGUGAUGAUCUUGGCUGUCUGCAGACUACUUUCACGCUUGUUUCCUGGUUUCUGAGAGCUCCAUAUUAACCCAAGGAGAAGCAGUGGUUAUUAGGAUCCACGAGUUACAGAUGUGAAAAAUAAGUUUGGUUUGAAUUCAGAUUUCCUUUUUCCCCAUCUUGGAGUUCUUACAUUGCACAAUUCUGCCUCAUUUAGGGCUGCCUUAGCCUUGUGGCGGAGCUCUUCUGCAUCAGUAGAAUCUUGAACACUUUUUAUGUGUUUUCUUUAAUCUUUAUUGUUGAAAGUAUUACUACAUCUUCCCCCCGUUUCCCCGUUCACCUCUUCUAUCUUGCCCCCGCCCCCACCACA